RNAcentral lists this ribosomal RNA (430 nucleotides) under uncultured bacterium. RNAcentral's name for it is "bacterial SSU rRNA". It matches the Rfam family "Bacterial small subunit ribosomal RNA", at positions 355 to 776 of the family's 1533-position model. The record is from RNAcentral.
UAGGGAAUUUUCCACAAUGGGCGAAAGCCUGAUGGAGCAACGCCGCGUGAGGGAUGAAGCAUUUCGGUGUGUAAACCUCUUUGGAGCGGGAAGAAUGCCGUUUGGGUGAACAAUCCAGACGGGUGACGGUACCGCUAGAACAAGACACGGCUAACUUCGUGCCAGCAGCCGCGGUAAUACGAAGGUGUCAAACGUUGUCCGGAAUUAUUGGGCGUAAAGGGCGCGUAGGCGGCCAGGUAAGUGAGAUGUGAAAGCUCUGGGCUCAACCCAGGAAUUGCAUUUCAUACUGCUUGGCUUGAGUUCGGUAGAGGAGGGCGGAAUUCCAGAAGUAGCGGUGAAAUGCGUUGAUAUCUGGAGGAACACCCGUGGCGAAGGCGGCUCUCUGGUCCGAUACUGACGCUGAGGCGCGAAAGGUAGGGGAGCAAACAGG